RNAcentral lists this long non-coding RNA (3216 nucleotides) under Volvox carteri. Its description in RNAcentral is "long non-coding RNA (VCAR_LNC002491)". The record is from RNAcentral. Lineage: Eukaryota; Viridiplantae; Chlorophyta; Chlorophyceae; Chlamydomonadales; Volvocaceae.
AACGAUGCAUCAUAACAUUUCUAGCUGCUAGAAAGGCGGCGGGGAAAGGAGCAUCCAUACGCGCACGCAAUUAGACCCCCGCCGUGAGAUGUGUCGGCGGCUGUGAGGCAGGUGGGGACAUGCCUGGAGGCUGAAAGGGCUUCCGGACGCAUAUAUCGCACCAGGCGCCGUCGUACGCCGGACCAACGAUGCAUCAUAACAUUUCUAGUUGCUAGAAAGGCGGCAGGAAUAGGAGCAUCCAUACGGUCACGCAAUUAGACCCCCGCCGUGAGAUGCGUCGGUGGCUGUGAGGCAGGUGGGGACAUGCCUGGAGGCUGAAAGGGCUUCCGGACGCAUAUAUCGCACCAGGCGCCGUCGUACGCCGGACCAACGAUGCAUCAUAACAUUUCUAGCUGCUAGAAAGGCGGCGGGGAAAGGAGCAUCCAUACGCGUCACGCAAUUAGACCCCCGCCGUGAGAUGCGUCGGCGGCUGUGAGGCAGGUGGGGACAUGCCUGGAGGCUGAAAGGGCUUCCGGACGCAUAUAUCGCACCAGGCGCCGUCGUACGCCGGACCACCGAUGCAUCAUAACAGUAACUAGCUGCUAGAAAGGCGGCGGGGUAGGAGCAUCCAUACGGCACGCAAUUAGACCCCCGCCGUGAGAUGCGUCGGCGGCUGUGAGGCAGGUGGGGACAUGCCUGGAGGCUGAAAGGGCUUCCGGACGCAUAUAUCGCACCAGGCGCCGUCGUACGCCGGACCAACGAUGCAUCAUAACAUUUCUAGUUGUUAGAAAGGCGGCGGGGAAAGGAGCAUCCAUACGGCACGCAAUUAGACCCCCGCCGUGAGAUGCGUCGGUGGCUGUGAGGCAGGUGGGGACAUGCCUGGAGGCUGAAAGGGCUUCCGGACGCAUAAAUCGCACCAGGCGCCGUCGUACGCCGGACCAACGAAGCAUCAUAACAUUUCUAGUUGUUAGAAAGGCGGCAGGAAUAGAAGCAUCCAUACGCGCACGCAAUUAGAACCCCGCCGUGAGAUGCGUCGGUGGCUGUGAGGCAGGUGGGGACAUGCCUGGAGGCUGAAAGGGCUUCCGGACGCAUAAAUCGCACCAGGCGCCGUCGUACGCCGGACCAACGAUGCAUCAUAACAUAACUAGUUGUUAGAAAGGCGGCAGGAAUAGGAGCAUCCAUACGCGCACGCAAUUAGAACCCCGCCGUGAGAUGCGUCGGUGGCUGUGAGGCAGGUGGGGACAUGCCUGGAGGCUGAAAGGGCUUCCGGACGCAUAAAUCGCAUCAGGCGCCGUCGUACGCCGGACCAACGAUGCAUCAUAACAUAACUAGUUGUUAGAAAGGCGGCGGGGAAAGAAGCAUCCAUACGCGCACGCAAUUAGAACCCCGCCGUGAGAUGCGUCGGUGGCUGUGAGGCAGGUGGGGACAUGCCUGGAGGCUGAAAGGGCUUCCGGACGCAUAAAUCGCAUCAGGCGCCGUCGUACGCCGGACCAACGAAGCAUCAUAACAUAACUAGUUGUUAGAAAGGCGGCGGGGAAAGAAGCAUCCAUACGCGCACGCAAUUAGAACCCCGCCGUGAGAUGCGUCGGUGGCUGUGAGGCAGGUGGGGACAUGCCUGGAGGCUGAAAGGGCUUCCGGACGCAUAAAUCGCAUCAGGCGCCGUCGUACGCCGGACCACCGAUGCAUCAUAACAUUUACUAGUUGCUAGAAAGGCGGCGGGGUAAGGAGCAUCCAUACGCGCACGCAAUUAGACCCCCGCCGUGAGAUGCGUCGGCGGCUGUGAGGCAGGUGGGACAUGCCUGGAGGCUGAAAGGGCUUCCGGACGCAUAAAUCGCACCAGGCGCCGUCGUACGCCGGACCACCGAUGCAUCAUAACAUCUACUAGUUGCUAGAAAGGCGGCGGGGUAAGGAGCAUCCAUACGCGCACGCAAUUAGACCCCCGCCGUGAGAUGCGUCGGUGGCUGUGAGGCAGGUGGGACAUGCCUGGGAGGCUGAAAGGGCUUCCGGACGCAUACAUCGCACCAGGCGCCGUCGUACACCGGACCAACGAUGUAUCAUAACAUCAACUAGUUGCCAGAAAAGCGGCGGGGAACGCGUCUUCAUCAGUCACGCUCGCUAGCCCCCACCGUGGGCGUCGGUGGAUGUGAGACAGGUCAUCCCUGGGAGGGUGAAGUACUCCCACUGGCAUCNNNNNNNNNNNNNNNNNNNNNNNNNNNNNNNNNNNNNNNNNNNNNNNNNNNNNNNNNNAUGUUGCGUUUCAAGCGUAUGAAGGCUCGUUGCGUCAAGCUUAAUGCGGCCUAAGCUAACACACAACAAGCACACACGAUUUACCUUUGAUGAAUCGCAUGACAUAACAAUUCGCAUGCGAUGUUUUAUGUGUUGGUCGCAUACUCAGUUCGUAAACCUUCACACAGUCUCAUGAGAGAAUAACAUGCUUGGCAGCACUCAGGGGGGGCUUCCGCAAACGAAAUCGCAUCAGGCGCAGCCCUACACCGCACAACGAUUCAUCAUACCAUCAACAAGAUGCCAGAAAGGUGGCGGAACAUGCCACAUGCGAACGCGCACGCAAUUAGACCCCCGCCGUGAGAUGCGUCGGUGGCUGUGAGGCAGGUGGGACAUGCCUGGAGGCUGAAAGGGCUUCCGGAUGCAUAAAUCGCACCAGGCGCCGUCGUACGCCGGACCAACGAUGCAUCAUAACAGUAACUAGCUGCUAGAAAGGCGGCAGGAAUAGGAGCAUCCAUACGCGCACGCAAUUAGAACCCCGCCGUGAGAUGCGUCGGCGGCUGUGAGGCAGGUGGGGACAUGCCUGGAGGCUGAAAGGGCUUCCGGACGCAUAAAUCGCAUCAGGCGCCGUCGUACGCCGGACCAACGAUGCAUCAUAACAGUAACUAGCUGCUAGAAAGGCGGCAGGAAUAGGAGCAUCCAUACGCGCACGCAAUUAGACCCCCGCCGUGAGAUGCGUCGGCGGCUGUGAGGCAGGUGGGGACAUGCCUGGAGGCUGAAAGGGCUUCCGGACGCAUAAAUCGCACCAGGCGCCGUCGUACGCCGGACCAACGAUGCAUCAUAACAUUAACUAGUUGCUAGAAAGGCGGCGGGGUAAGGAGCAUCCAUACGCGCACGCAAUUAGACCCCCGCCGUGAGAUGCGUCGGUGGCUGUGAGGCAGGUGGGACAUGCCUGGGAGGCUGAAAGGGCUUCCGGACGCAUACAUCGCACCAGGCGCCGUCGUACACCGGACC